UAACACGAUAUGCGGUUCUCAGCAGGCAUCUAACGAGAACGAAAUGUGAAGGAGAAGGAUGGGGAUGCGUCUGAUUAGCUUGUUGGCGGGGUAACGGCCCACCAAGGCGACGAUCAGUAGGGGUUCUGAGAGGAAGGUCCCCCACAUUGGAACUGAGACACGGUCCAAACUCCUACGGGAGGCAGCAGUGAGGAAUAUUGGUCAAUGGACGGGAGUCUGAACCAGCCAAGUAGCGUGCAGGAUGACGGCCCUAUGGGUUGUAAACUGCUUUUAUAAGGGAAUAAAGUGAGCCUCGUGAGGCUUUUUGCAUGUACCUUAUGAAUAAGGACCGGCUAAUUCCGUG
Molecule: ribosomal RNA, 343 nt
Filed under: uncultured bacterium
Lineage: Bacteria
Description: bacterial SSU rRNA
Rfam family: Bacterial small subunit ribosomal RNA
Source: RNAcentral